CUCACCCUCUCGCCCACAGCCCCGCCCGUGAACCCUAGCGCUCCCUUGCAGCUGUCUUCCCACACCGCUCCAGAUCCAGAUCCGCCGCCUCGCCGCCUCCCUUCAGACCCAUCGCCGCCGCCACCUCCCCUCCUCUCCUCACGCAACGGAGAGAGAGAGGCAUUGCCGCCUCCACACAAAGAGAAACACACUAACUCUGCUCCCCGGGUCCCUCCACUCCAGCCGAGAAACCGCUGCCGCCGCCCACCGGAGCCGGAGAUGAAGAAGAUCUUCGGUGCUAAGAAAAGCAGGGACCCGCCGCCCACCAUCCAGGACGCCUCAAGGAGUUGGCGCGGUACAAGGAGCAGAUCCGCAAGGCCUGGCCGGGCCCCUCGCAGGAGGCCAUCAAGGCUCGCGCCAUCAGGCUCCUCAAGCACAAGCGCAUGUACGAGGAGCAGCGCAACCUCGACCAGGUCGGCUUCGCCGCCGACGGCCUCAAGGACGUGCAGCUAACCGAUGGCGCCUGAGGAGGGGGUGCUCGACCAUGGCUGCUGCUGGGGAUGCAUCAGCCAUGUAUCUUACUCUCUGGCUGUAGGUGACCAACACCGAGGGGCUGCCUCUCGUGUACAGCCCCGAGAUCAUUUCGGCCUACUGGGGCAAACGCCCAGGCGCCGUCGCCACCCGAGCGGUGAAGCUCUUGUCCGUGGCCGGUGGUUUCAUCUCCCACAUCAUAUCAGACCUCAUCACCGACAAAAUCAAGGAGAGCAAAGUGGCGCGCGCAAUCGAGAUGAGAGAGAUUGUCAUGUCUCUGGGCCCUACCUACGUCAAGCUCAGCCAGGCGCCGAGCAUCCGACCCGAUAUUCUGCCCCCUGCGGCGAUGACCAAGCUUCAGAAGCUAUGUGACAAGGUUCCUUCGUUCCCUAACGAUAUCACGAUGGCUCUCCUGGAAGAAGAGAAUUGUCUCCCUCCCGAUUGCUGCAGGAGGCUGCAGAGGCCUACCUGGUGGGUCUCUUCGAGGACACCAACCUGUGCGCCGUCCAUGCCAAGCGCGUGACCAUCAUACCCAAGGACAUUCAACUAGCUAGGAGGAUCCAUGGCGAGAGGGCUUAAGGUGCUUGCUUUGCCUGUGGGAAUGGCUCUGGCGGGCAUCUGUGUCUGCUUUUGCUGCUGAACACUUAUCAUGUGUCGCGAACUACUAAUACUGGUCGUGUGUAGUAAUAUGUCAGUGCCGUACUCUGUGCCAUACUAUGUUCGUAGAGCUAGAUCAUUUGUUUGUUGGUCGUCCUAAAUCAUCCACCUGGUUGGUGCUUAUCUGAACCUUGCAUUUUAUGUCUGAAAAUUAGUGAUUGUGUGAACCAUUAUUAUUUUCCUUUUGUCUCAUUUAUUUGUAUCUCUGCCAUGCAAGUUUGUGUUCAUCGAUAGUGUUUUUGAUUCCUGUCAAUCUGUGCUAGUAGCCGUCUUUGUUUAGCCAACCAUAGACCUGAAGCUGUGCUACCCAAACGAGCUAGUCUUAUAAGUUCGCUAUGGAAAUUAGAGUGCUCUGUAAUAUGUCUGGAGAUUAGAAAAUGUUCAGGUAAAUGAAACUGUUUGAUAGAGCUGUACUGUGAAGUUUGAGGAUCACAGUACAGUACUACUAGUAGAUAACAGGAGCAUAACAAUGUAGUGUUGUACUGUGAAAGUCUCAUAUUUUCCUUUUGAAGUUUGUAGUACAUUCAUGUUAAUUACUUAUGAUGUGAAUCCGAUGUUAAAUGUUGGUGCUUUCUGGAAGAGUAAAAGUAAUAACCUUGCUAGUGGACAUGUAAACUGCAAAGCUGGUACUGUGAGUCUAAAAUCUUUGGAUUUAUAUAUCGGUUACUGUAGUUUCAGAUGCAAUUUUUUUUGAUUGGUGGAUUAGAAUGAUUGACACAACCAUGUGAUCCGUUAUCAGGUUGCGGAUUGGUGCUGUUGGCCUCAACAGGGCACCUUGCACUACCCGUGUAAGUGCGUUUGAGAAGGCAGUGAGGUUGUUCACGGAAAAGCCGACGGAUAAUGUAAUCACUCUAGUGCUGGAAACGGUGAGGAUCACAAGGUGAAGAUGAGGUGCUGGUAUGGUCAUGGAGCUCAAGGCCUAAUUUUUUUCCUUUAUGUUCACUCUUUUACUGGAGCUAGAGUCCUGAUUUUUUUGAGUGUGAAGCCGUGAAGCCAAGUGCGAAGCAGUGAAGCUGUACUUUGCAAAGUGUUUUUUUGGCUUUGUAGUAGAUUGUAAAAGGCUAAUGUAGUGUAAAAGGCUAAUGUAGUGUUAUUUGACGAACUAUAUUUGUUCUAUCCAUGUUGAAAUAGUGGCUGUUUGAAAUAGUGGUUAUGUAUGUUGAGAAGAUAUGUAAACUUCACUAGUGGGACCCACUUAUGAAUAUAAUCUGAGCAAUUUUGAAA
Molecule: long non-coding RNA, 2391 nt
Organism: Triticum aestivum (bread wheat)
Lineage: Eukaryota; Viridiplantae; Streptophyta; Magnoliopsida; Poales; Poaceae
Exons: 8
Source: RefSeq, a predicted model, not a curated record